CGUUUAAUACAACUAGCCCCGAAAAAAA
This 28-nucleotide small RNA is filed under the name Arabidopsis thaliana (thale cress). RNAcentral's name for it is "ATSL256620". Lineage: Eukaryota; Viridiplantae; Streptophyta; Magnoliopsida; Brassicales; Brassicaceae. The record is from RNAcentral.